This is a long non-coding RNA of Olea europaea var. sylvestris, 350 nucleotides long. RefSeq lists it as uncharacterized. The record is from RefSeq and is a predicted model, not a curated record. Lineage: Eukaryota; Viridiplantae; Streptophyta; Magnoliopsida; Lamiales; Oleaceae. The transcript has 3 exons.
CUGACUAGUGACUGGUGUUCUGUGGAUUAUUCAUUUUAACCCUCAAAAACUGGUCAUUGAAGAUUUGAGUAAGAAAGAUUUCUGGAUUGAUAUGUCCAGUCAGUUCGUUUGAAACAUGGAUAUUAUUGAGGAAAGGACUGAUUUUCUUCCCUUCCUGUAAUAUGAGAAACGGGUUUUCUUCACUGAUAUCCUAAAUUAAAAUUAGUGAUUGGAUAUGAUAUCAGUAUUAGGAUGGAAAAGAAUGCCUUUUCCAUACACGGGGUAUUUAAUAAUUAUUGGUGAAUGAUUUUUGUUCAUAUCGGACCCUCCGUCACCACUCUGACAUUUUCUUCUUGUCAAUUUCACAUUCA